RNAcentral lists this ribosomal RNA (549 nucleotides) under uncultured bacterium. RNAcentral describes it as "bacterial SSU rRNA". It matches the Rfam family "Bacterial small subunit ribosomal RNA", at positions 355 to 896 of the family's 1533-position model. The record is from RNAcentral.
UGGGGAAUAUUGGACAAUGGGCGAAAGCCUGAUCCAGCCAUGCCGCGUGUGUGAAGAAGGCCUUUUGGUUGUAAAGCACUUUAAGUGGGGAGGAAAAGCUUAUGGUUAAUACCCAUAAGCCCUGACGUUACCCACAGAAUAAGCACCGGCUAACUCUGUGCCAGCAGCCGCGGUAAUACAGAGGGUGCAAGCGUUAAUCGGAAUUACUGGGCGUAAAGCGCGCGUAGGUGGUUAUUUAAGUCAGAUGUGAAAGCCCCGGGCUUAACCUGGGAACUGCAUCUGAUACUGGAUAACUAGAGUAGGUGAGAGGGGAGUAGAAUUCCAGGUGUAGCGGUGAAAUGCGUAGAGAUCUGGAGGAAUACCGAUGGCGAAGGCAGCUCCCUGGCAUCAUACUGGCACUGAGGUGCGAAAGCGUGGGUAGCAAACAGGAUUAGAUACCCUGGUAGUCCACGCCGUAAACGAUGUCUACCAGUCGUUGGGUCUUUUAAAGACUUAGUGACGCAGUUAACGCAAUAAGUAGACCGCCUGGGGAGUACGGCCGCAAGGUUA